Molecule: long non-coding RNA, 3785 nt
Filed under: Fragaria vesca (wild strawberry)
Lineage: Eukaryota; Viridiplantae; Streptophyta; Magnoliopsida; Rosales; Rosaceae
Description: long non-coding RNA (FVES_LNC003676)
Source: RNAcentral
AUUGGAAUUUUGUUGUGAGUUUUACAUUUAGAAGAAAAUUACUGGUUUAUUGCUUGCUUGAUAGCAGAAAAGAUGGCGACGCCCCUCUUCUCUGUUAAGAUUUAGAAUUGGGUUUCUGUGGUUUUAAAAUAAGGUUCUGGUUUUUCCUCUGCAUGAGUUAUAUCUUCUAUAGCAUUACAACACUACCGAUUAAAGAAAAUGAUGUGUUGCAUGGUUCCUCAAAAUACCUGUUUAUUUGUUCCUUGAUAAUCAGGUGUGAUACGGAUGUGGAUGUAUGUAUUGUCUGGGCACAACAGUUGCUAAAUUUUAGAAUAAACUUUAUGCUUAAUUAAAUAACAGACCUUGUAUUUGUACUUUGGAUAAAUCUCUAAGAUAGAUAUGGCCGCCUCGUUUUCGUCUUAAUUCUUAUCUUGUUUAUGACUCAUUGCUUAUUGAGCUGGGGUGCUCAUCUUAUAUCAUUUUUUUAUUUUUUUGUGUUACCUUAAUAUUAUCCUGCAUUAUAUUCUGUUGUUUUGGUGUAUAUGCUUGCUAGAUUAGUGUGAUUUCUCUUCUCUCAAAUCAUCAAUGGAUAUAUUUGGUGUUUAUGUUAACCCUACACUUUCUGUUAGGUGUAUUGAAAUGUGAUGAAUGUUUGGUUCAUGGAAGGAACUGGCCAUUGAGGUAGCCUUUUGAGUUGUUACUGUAUGUAAGUAUAAAUAAUUCAGCUUGUCUGUCUAUGAUAUGUUAUCCAGCAAGUUCAUUAAGGAAUUUGUUGUGUAUUGUGUUAAUUUUCUGAACACUAAUAAAGCUUCCUCUACAUCUGAGAUUAUAGGAUACAUCCUUUGACCAUAUGGUCUUGUGUCAAAUGACUGUUAUCUGGACCUUUGAUUGUAUGGAAGGGUAUCAGUUGUCCCAACUUAGUCAUGUAGCAAUAAGACUGAAUCAAAAUGCUAGAAUUGCAUUUCCUUUUAGGUUUCGAAACUCAAAGGUUUAUGAAUCAGUGUCUUCUUAGAUUGUUUUGGGCAAUAUCAGGUUUACAAGGAUAUGCCAUGUUAUGAUGGCUGUGUUGUGGCUAAAGAUAAAUAUAUAUAGGUACAUACAUAACUCGGUAUCAAAUUUAAUUGUUGUUAAGUACUUGCUGCCGGUACUUUAGCUACUAUAAAAUCUGUUAGUGUGUGUCUGUUGACCUGACAUUGGGAUUUUGCGACUCAAUUUGGACAAUGUGUCUACCCUCUUGGUUUAUAUUUAUCUGGUCAUGCACUACAUCUACAUUUAUGUAUCCUACAGUUGUGAAAUUUGAUGUUAGUCAGGACUAGUAUGAAUCAAUGAGUUAUAAUGUUGUAACUCUAGAAGCUUCCUUUUGCUUUGAUUUCCUUCCUUUCUUGGUUGUUUGUUUGGUUGCUUUGCUCUAGGGCAAGUUACACAUGUCAAGUCACUUUACAACUGCAUGUGUUUAUGGUUUGUCUAUUGUAUAGCAGGACCUUAUAUAUUGUGAAUCUAUUAUUGGCAGUGCUUGAUUAAUAUAUAGUCAUGUGAUAUAGUGAUCAAGAUACCUGGUUUGGCUAGAGUGCUAUAGGAUGGCACUGAGGUCAGUUUCAGCUUCAAUUUAUGUAAUCUGUUGGUUUUGCCUUUGGGAAAGUUUCGAGUUAAUUUUAGUAAUUUACAGCUUUAGUUCUAAGCUGAGGCAGAUUUUAAGGCUUUAUGAAUGCACUUGUGAUCAGUCUUUCAUAAAUCAUAAUGAAGUUCAUGAUUUCAUGUGUUAUUGUAGGACUUUUGAAAGUGUCUACCCUCUUUGUUUAUAUUUAUCUGGUCAUGCACUACAUCUACAUUUAUGUAUCCUACAGUUGUGAAAUUUGAUGUUAGUUAGGACUAGUAUGAAUCAAUGAGUCAUAAUGUUGUAACUCUAGAAGCUUCCUUUUGCUUUGAUUUCCUUCCUUUCUUUGUUGUUUGUUUGGUUGCUUUGGUCUCGGGCAAGUUACACAUGUCAAAUGACUUUACAACCGCUUGUGUUUAUGGUUUUUCUGUUGUAUAGCAGGACCUUAUACGUGGUUGUUGUGAAUCUAUUAUUGGCCGUGCUUGAUUAAUAUAUAGUCGGAUCAAGAUACCUGUUUUGGCUAGAGUGCUAUGUGAUGGCACUGAGGUCAGUUUCCGCUUCAAUUUAUGUAAUCUGUUGGUUUCGCAUUCGGGAAAGUUUCGAGUUGAUUUUAGUAAUUUACAGCUUUAGUUUUAAGCUUAGGCAGAUUUUAUGGCUUUAUGAAUGCACUUGUGAUCAAUCUUUCAUAAAUCAUAAUGAAGUUCAUGAUUUCAUGUGUUAUUGUAGGACUUUUGAAAGUGUUAGGCUUAGAUGAAAGGUUUAUAUAGGGGUUUCAUGGUGGUGGCCAAUAAACAGGCAAGUGAAAGUGGUGGUGUUAUCAUCUAUCACAGCCUUUGUGAUUAUCUAUCACACCCCACCACUACUAACAAUCUCAACUAAUUCUAAGAAUAAAGUCUCAACUAAUUCUGAUAUUAGUUUUAUUAGGAAGGGUUAAUUGUACAGGUAUUUGUCAGGAGAAUAUUGUGUAAAGUCUGUGUGUGCUUGCAGUGCAAGCCAUUGUCCUUUUGAAGGGAAAGUUGUGUGGGGAGAGUUUAAUAUGGAGGAUACUAUUUCUAAUGCGGCUUGAAAUUGUAUUGAUAUGAUCUUCGGCUGAAAACAGUUUUUUGGUACAAGUCAAAAAGGUGCCUUCCCAUGUUGUGGAAGGUAUGAUUUCUGAAAAUAAAUGGGAUCAGUCCCUACCUUGUCUACAACUUCAAAUGUUUAGUGUUAUGUUGGAAUGUGCGUGGUUCUGGGGAAAAGAAGUUUAGAACUGCUGUUUCUCAUUUUGUUCCUCUAUAUGAGUUUGAUGUUUUAAUUGUAUCUGAACCUAGAGUUCCUUUCUCUAGAGCUAAAAUUUUCUUCAAAAACAUGUCGUCUCUGAUGCUGCAAGUGUCUGAUGCUAGAGGUUUGCUAAUAGGAUCAGAAUCAUAGCAUGGUAGUAUGUUUGCUAAUAGGAUUGCUAAUAGGAUCAGAAUCAUCAGACACUAGAAACUCUCAUUUUAAUGGUAGUAUGUUUCAUCUUCUUCAUCAUCAGAUAUCUCAACCUCUGAAGAUACCUUGACCAAUUCAGUUAAAUAACAUAAUUUCAAAAAUUGGUUUGGAGUAGUGAAAAUGGCAGCAGGAGUUUCCAAAUUUCUUUGAAAAUUUAGGUUGGUGUAGUAUGUUGGAGUUACUGCCUCUCCAUGUUGAGAUUGAUUGAUGCAAAUUUUGGGGAUACUGUUGAGAUUGUUGCCUUGUAAUCCUACUUACUGAACUAAGGGAGUUCAAAGUUGUUAACACUAAUUUGAUUGGUACCUACUGAGCUAAUGUGCUGGUUUUAGUAGGGGAUAUCCUAUUGCAUUAAUAGUUGUAAGACUAGCAGCCUUACUUUAUUGUUUAGUAACACCCAAGCUAGAAGAAUCAUAUGUGAAAGUUUGGUCUCCUGGAGUCUGCCUAUUGAGUACUGAGUGGAUAAUGAUCUACUCUCACAUGUCAUAACCAUAACCCCGGCAAAGGUCGGUUCUAUCUUCGUAUGAUGCCAACUAUCUACUUAUCUGGCUUUUGUCUUCUGAAAUUUCAGGAGGUUGCUACUAUCACUAUGGCUUAAAACUAAAUAAUACCCAUGUUAAACCCUCCUCCUUGAAACAUUGUAUGUGUUCGUAGGCACAAUGUUGAUUGGAUGUUAGUAUGUUCUUGAAGAACUAUCUUGAACACAAGAAAUACGUUACUUGCAGAAUGGUCAAAAUUUUAACAA